GGAGAGGUACCCAAGCGGUCGAAGGGGCGCGCCUGGAGAGCGCGUGUGCCCCAAAAGGGCACCGUGGGUUCGAAUCCCACCCUCUCCG
Molecule: transfer RNA, 88 nt
Filed under: Nitrospinota bacterium
Lineage: Bacteria; Pseudomonadati; Nitrospinota
Description: Nitrospinae bacterium tRNA-Ser
Rfam family: tRNA
About the family: Transfer RNA (tRNA) molecules are approximately 80 nucleotides in length. Their secondary structure includes four short double-helical elements and three loops (D, anti-codon, and T loops). Further hydrogen bonds mediate the characteristic L-shaped molecular structure. tRNAs have two regions of fundamental functional importance: the anti-codon, which is responsible for specific mRNA codon recognition, and the 3' end, to which the tRNAs corresponding amino acid is attached (by aminoacyl-tRNA synthetases). tRNAs cope with the degeneracy of the genetic code in two manners: having more than one tRNA (with a specific anti-codon) for a particular amino acid; and 'wobble' base-pairing, i.e. permitting non-standard base-pairing at the 3rd anti-codon position.
Source: RNAcentral